GAGGGUAUAGCUCAGCAGUAGAGCGCAUGUUUAGCAUGCAUGAGGUCCUGGGUUCAAUCCCCAGUACCUCCU
Transfer RNA from Camelus ferus (Wild Bactrian camel), 72 nucleotides. It matches the Rfam family "tRNA". Rfam says of the family: Transfer RNA (tRNA) molecules are approximately 80 nucleotides in length. Their secondary structure includes four short double-helical elements and three loops (D, anti-codon, and T loops). The record is from Rfam. Lineage: Eukaryota; Metazoa; Chordata; Mammalia; Artiodactyla; Camelidae.